Molecule: ribosomal RNA, 465 nt
Filed under: uncultured Klebsiella sp.
Lineage: Bacteria; Pseudomonadati; Pseudomonadota; Gammaproteobacteria; Enterobacterales; Enterobacteriaceae
Description: bacterial SSU rRNA
Rfam family: Bacterial small subunit ribosomal RNA
Source: RNAcentral
CCUACGGGUGGCUGCAGUGGGGAAUAUUGCACAAUGGGCGCAAGCCUGAUGCAGCCAUGCCGCGUGUGUGAAGAAGGCCUUCGGGUUGUAAAGCACUUUCAGCGGGGAGGAAGGCGGUGAGGUUAAUAACCUCAUCGAUUGACGUUACCCGCAGAAGAAGCACCGGCUAACUCCGUGCCAGCAGCCGCGGUAAUACGGAGGGUGCAAGCGUUAAUCGGAAUUACUGGGCGUAAAGCGCACGCAGGCGGGCUGUCAAGUCGGAUGUGAAAUCCCCGGGCUCAACCUGGGAACUGCAUUCGAAACUGGCAGGCUAGAGUCUUGUAGAGGGGGGUGGAAUUCCAGGUGUAGCGGUGAAAUGCGUAGAGAUCUGGAGGAAUACCGGUGGCGAAGGCGGCCCCCUGGACAAAGACUGACGCUCAGGUGCGAAAGCGUGGGGAGCAAACAGGAUUAGAUACCCUAGUAGUC